UAAUAAAAGAUUCUUGUAGUGAUAAUCUCGCGUGUGUUGAUUAGAGAAAAUAAUCUUUCAGACAAGAUUUCUGUCGGAUUAAUGGAUCUAUUCUCAGUUCGCCCAAGCAAACGAAAACCGGUGCCAAAUCCACCUUGCAAGAACGGACGGCGCCAUUUGCCACGUACUUUUGAAAUUAAAUUAUUUUGGCAUAUCGUCAAGCGCCAAAAUUAUAUUGUCGAACGUUCGUUAAAAGGGACAAACAUUUUAUAACUAUUCGUCGUUCGUUCUCGCGGUCCGUCGGGAAGAGAAAAGGCCUCAGCUGCGACCUACCGCAUCCCAUUCCACGAAGAGCGCGUUUUGUGAAGUCGCUACAUUUUUAAAAACGUCCGUGCGAAAUCGCGAAAGGGAGAGAAACGAGAUGACGAGAUGAGGCUAUACCGCGCGUCGCAAAGGAGACUUCACGGCGGCUGCACAAAUACUAACCGCGACAAAAUAACAAGCAGCGCCCAAAGACACAAGGCUACAACUCGCGUCUGACCGCGGAUCCGAAAGGCGGCGAUUGAAAUCUCGCGUUUCAAUUUCGGCGCGAGUCUCGUCGCGCAAUUUCCGAAAUAAAUUCCGACAAGAAAAUUCUCACAAAUUUGUCAAAAACAAGACCGGAAGUUCGUGUCCAAAACGUCGUGUGAAACAGGUCUAUCUGUGACGAAGAUAGCCCGUUGCGACAUUCACAAAAUAAAGGAAAAAAAAAACAC
This is a long non-coding RNA of Pseudomyrmex gracilis, 734 nucleotides long. RefSeq lists it as uncharacterized. NCBI's taxonomy places the organism in Eukaryota, Metazoa, Arthropoda, Insecta, Hymenoptera, Formicidae. The record is from RefSeq and is a predicted model, not a curated record. The transcript has 4 exons.